RNAcentral lists this long non-coding RNA (411 nucleotides) under Nicotiana benthamiana. Its description in RNAcentral is "long non-coding RNA (NBEN_LNC004551)". The record is from RNAcentral. Lineage: Eukaryota; Viridiplantae; Streptophyta; Magnoliopsida; Solanales; Solanaceae.
GCUCGUUCACCACUCUGUGGGAUGUGGAUGUCAAUGACCUCCCCAAAUUUUUGAAAAUGUGAAAGAAGAGCAUCUGGUUUGUUGUCUUUCUGUGGAAUGCCUCUCACAAACAGAGUUCGAAGUGCCUUUUGAGAAGGUUUUCUCAUAUUAUGUCCAGAACUACUUUGGGGCUUGGAAGAUGGUUCUGUCAUUUGUGGGUCAAUAGUAUCUACAUUAUUUUGCUUCCCUGGACGGGAGUUUCCUUGAUUGCGUACGAAGUGCCUUUUGACAAGGUUUUCUCAUAUUAUGUCCAGAACUACUUUGGGGCUUGAAAGAUGAUUCUGUCAUUUGUGGGUCAAUAGUAUCUACAUUUAUUUGCUUCCCUGGAUGGGAGUUUCCUUGAUUGCUGCAGGAUGAUUCCAAAUCUUUUCC